This 3951-nucleotide long non-coding RNA is filed under the name Homo sapiens (human). RNAcentral describes it as "HSALNT0382973". The record is from RNAcentral. Lineage: Eukaryota; Metazoa; Chordata; Mammalia; Primates; Hominidae.
GCAGUCACGAACUCGCCAGCAGCUAGCAGCACUGACUAGUAGGAGGGCCCGCCGGAGGAGAGGAAGCCCCAGAGAGAUUGGUGAGGGUGAUUUCCCAGGAAGACGCAGUGUGCUCUGACUUCUGUGACAGUGAGCAACGGGACCAGUGGAUGUCCAGAUGCUGGCAAUGAGACAUGCUCUGGAGUCAGAAGACAGCGAAAAGAGAAGCAGAAGCCCCGGUGGCAAGAGUCUGAAGCUGGAAAGGAGGAGAACAUGAAACAUUGCUUGAAGACAAUGGCCGAGACAGCAGGUCCCACCCUGCACAGCCACCAGCAUCUCUCCCCUCAGCCCUGUCUCCUCUUCUGCAGUUGGGAUCUGCACAUUUAAGCCUGAAAUUGUCCUGUGAAGUGAAGUAUGAUCGGACAGCCUCUUUUCAGCUUUUAUGACAAUGGAGACAGAGGAAUUGUGGCUCUUGCCAAGGUCACAGGAUUGGAAUACAGAGCCAAGCCACCCCAGGACAUGCAAGAGCCUCAGAAGGGAAAAAAGCCCAGCAGGAAGGGAGAACAAGUAGCCUCUGUCCUGAAGUUGUAACAGCCAGGGGCCAGGAUGGAGGAGGAGGACCCCAUAAUCUGCCCAUCUGGGACUUGGCAGGGGACCUGGGAAAAUGUACCCCAACCCAUCCCUUAAGGGCCUUUGUCUUUGGCCCAUUGGCCUAGCAUCUACUUCUUCACCGUGUCUGUUCUUGUCACACCUAGUCAGGUCUGUUUGGGUCUGAGGUGCAUGGAACAUUCUGGGUAGGCCUCCAGCAAACGGAAGCUCUUCACCGUGUUUCCAGCCUGGGACCAAGGGCAGCAUACUGGCAAAGUUGCCAAAGCAAGGGACUCCAGCCUCUUAGGAGUUAAUGACUCCCUCUCCCCAGCUGUCCUCCCCUUGGUGCUCCUCUUCCUCCCUCCUCCUGCUCACAGCAGGCAGGGCCUAGACCCGGGAGCCAUGCUGCUGUGCUGUUGCCAGGGGAGCACGGAGGCAGAUCUGAGCUAUGCAGGGAAAAGGCCCAGCCUGUCAAAGUGUCUGAGAUGAACCGCCGCCGUCCCUGUGCAGCUGGGCUCAGACGUGUCUCAGCUCUUGUUCUGUGCCUGAGAAUGGCGAAACCCAGUGAGGUUCAAGGGCAAACUCGCUAUUCAUUAGUCAGGGGUUCUUGACGUCCCGUCUCUCCCAGGGAUGAGUUCCCCCCUCCUCUUUCUCCCCCUCCUAUGACACAUUCCUGGGUGCCUUUGGUGAGGACUGCACACCCUCCUCCUGCCUAGCCCCCUCUCCAAAGGCCCCUGAAUAAACUCCCCCCAAGGAGACCAGGCAGGGCAGAGACAAUGGCUGCAGGAAAUCAUUCAGGCGGGACAUGCUGGCCUGCCCUCCACCCAGUCCCCCUGUGGGCCCCACUCCCUUCUGAUUCAGGGCACCCUUGGGCCCCCAGCCUAUACAGGCCUGGACAGGAAGAAACCACUGGGAACCACCCUAAGGACAACAUGCUAGUCCAGUGCCAUUCUUCGCUGGCUCUGUGGGUGCCUUUGUGGCCUGUACCGACUGGCUGGCUAAUUUUGUGGUUUCUGUACCAUCACAUGCCUAUUUUAAGACACUCUCCAGCACUGUCGGUUAGGGAGUGUAAAUUUUGCAAUAUUUUCUGAAAUGUGGCAAUAUCAAAAUGUAAAAGGCACACAUACUUGGUCACAAACAAAUGGCACUAUUUACUCUGUGGGCAUAUUUGUAAAAGUUGCCAAAGAAUUAUAUACAAGGAUGUUCAUCAGAGCAUUUCUUUUGAAGAGUAAAGAAAUGGACAUGAACCUGUGGUCCGUUCAUACGGUGGAAUACCUAUGCAGCUGUAAAAAUCAGUGUGGUAGAUCUCCGUAUAUGAGUUGAUGUGGAAGGUUGGCCAGUUCACAUGAUAAGGUGAAUAGAAUAAGUUACAGAACAGGCUGUAGAGUAUGAUCUUAUUUGUAGAUGUUUAAAACUGAGUCAUAAGUAUGCUUAUAUACAGAUCGUUUCUGGAAGUAUGUACUGGAAGUCUACCUCUGGGGAGUGGGGAUGGGGGAGUGCACUCUUCUAUACUGUUAUAUUUUCUUUUCAUGCUCCUAAGGUACUUUUAUUGGAAGAUGUAAAGCGGUUCAAUGUAAUAGGCUUAACUUCUGUCAACUAAGUUGGCGUGGGUGCUUUAAGAGGGUGGUAGUGAUGUUGCUGGAGAAAGUAUCCCACAGUCACUGGUGGCUUCAGCCACGGGCCAUUUUGGGGCCUAAUAAUCACAUAUCAUCAUGGUUGCUAGUGUUAAUCGAAAACCUACUAAGUGCCAGGCUUACUGUCUCUGGGUCUUGCUUACGUGGAUGUCAUUUUUCCAGUUGCACCAAAUCGAAAGAGGUUAAUUGGUUUGUUGGAGUUCCUUUGUAGGUGAAGGGCAGAGCCAGGAGCUUGGCUAGGGACAGGGGAGGUGAGUGGGGGAUGGUGGAUAGGUCUUGGCUCCCAGUUUCCUUCUGGGCAGACAUUGCCCCUCUGCCCUGAGGACCUGCUUGUUUGGGGGAAGAGGCCUUUAGAGGCACCAGGGUCAUGCCAGGUGUUGGACAUGGUGAACUGGGAAGUGCUCCCAUCUGGCCACAGCGCAGAAGUAUCACCGUGCUGGGGGAUGGGGAACAGGGCUGUGAAUGGGCCUAUUUGCAUAAGCAGCAUGUGUCUGGAGAGAAAGACAUCACAGAGCAGAAGAGUGCGGGUGCCCAGGAGUGCACUUGCCACCCCUACUUCAUCCCUGAAAGAGUAAAUGGCCUGGAAGGUGUCUCUGAGAGGUAAUGCCGCACACCACCCUCCCUGGGGGCAGGGUCAGGCUACACCUGCCUUAGGUCGGGGGCUGCAGCAGCCUGAGAGCUCUCAGUAGGGCCUCAGUAGCCUGGGAGGGAGCAGGGGCAGGGGGCAGGGAAAGAGGCGUAAUGGGGCUGUCCAGAGGGGCCUGGGAAACCUGGUCCCUGAGGCCUGGGCACAGCUACAAUCACUUCAAAUUGGCUGUGGGGCCAGUGGACUGGGAAGGAAAAAAGCAAUAAGAGUGACCAAGUGCAGAAGGCUGUCAGGUCCCAGGUCACAUGCCUUAGUGCAGUGACUCCUCAUCAUUUUAUGGGGUGUGGGUGUCGUUGGUACACCCAUUUUACAGAUGAGGACACCGAGGCCCAGAAAAGUUAAGUUACAUGUCCUAAGUCACACAGCUUGUAAGUGCCAGAACUGAGAUCAAAACCAAGUCUCUUUGACUUUAAAGUCUGUACUCUGACCCCAAAGAGAUCCUGUUUGGCCACUUAUAGGAGGUCCCUAAAGCUGCAGACUCCCCUUGCCGGCACCCACAUAUAGAGACAUUAACCCUUCCCCUGCAGGGUCACCUCAAAUAGUCUUUUAGCUGGGCUUCUCCUGCAAUUCCACCUAAUGCCAUCCCCUGGGUUUUGCCCAAACCUGAACUGGGCAGUGGGGUGAGAGGAGGGGUUUACAGGGUUACAGAGCCUCAUACAGAUAGGAGCCCAUGGCUGCUGGUCAUCUGCAUUCCUGCAGGAUUGGCUGUUCCUUGGGGUCCUUGGCAGGAAAAUGAGGAUUGCUCCGAGGCCUGCUCCAGUACUUCCCAGAGGCUGGCCUGGUGUGGGGCUCUGGGAAGGCUGAGGCUGGAGAAGCGUAAGUAGGAGGGCAGAGAUGGCACUCAGGUAGCUUGAAUCACCAGGACCCUUCCAAGCCCCACAGGUUCUGAGGGAGUACUAGGGCCAGCUCUGGGAGAGGUCUCUUCCUAUGCUGUGAACCCCCUGCCUUUCUUGCAGCCUACAACGAAUAAAUUUUCUUUGCAAAGGCUUCCGUGUCUCUGGUCAGUUUUUCUAGGAGGACAUGAGUGAGGAAAGUAGCACUCCGCCACCAGCAAAAACAACUGCUUGUGUCUUGCGGUGUGGUGGGGACACUGGUAUGGGUGCA